CCUACGGGAGGCAGCAGUGGGGGAUAUUGCACAAUGGGGGAAACCCUGAUGCAGCGACGCCGCGUGAGUGAAGUAGUAUUUCGGUAUGUAAAGCUCUAUCAGCAGGGAAGAAAAUGACAGUACCUGACCAAGAAGCCACGGCUAACUACGUGCCAGCAGCCGUGGUAAUACGUAGGGGGCAAGCGUUAUCCGGAUUUACUGGGUGUAAAGGGAGCGUAGACGGUUAUGUAAGUCUGGAGUGAAAGCCCGGGGCCCAACCCCGGGAGUGCUUUGGAAACUGGGUAACUUGAGUACAGGAAGGGCAGGCGGAAUUCCUGGUGUAGCGGUGAAAUGCGUAGAUAUCAGGAGGAACACCGGCGGCGAAGGCGGCCUGCUGGACUGAAACUGACGUUGAAGCUCGAAAGCGUGGGGAGCGAACAGGAUUAGAUACCCCUGUAGUC
This 440-nucleotide ribosomal RNA is filed under the name uncultured bacterium. Its description in RNAcentral is "partial 16S ribosomal RNA". It matches the Rfam family "Bacterial small subunit ribosomal RNA", at positions 338 to 795 of the family's 1533-position model. The record is from RNAcentral.